CUCUAGUGUUGGUCCAAUGCAUCCCCUGUCCAACGUCACCCAUUGUUUCCGUGAGGAUUCCGAAUGCCAGUCUAAAAUGCGUUGUAGUACAACAGCUUGGUGAUAUUUCUUAAUGUCUGGCAUCGCUAAACCCCCAUAGUGUCUGGGCCGACAGAGGAUAUCAUGCCGUAUUUUGGAGCGUUCACCUCGCCACACAAAUCUAAUGACUGCUGUUUUCAGACAGGAGAAG
This is a non-coding RNA of Pelobates cultripes (western spadefoot toad), 229 nucleotides long. The record is from the annotation of a GenBank genome assembly. NCBI's taxonomy places the organism in Eukaryota, Metazoa, Chordata, Amphibia, Anura, Pelobatidae.